ACUGAUCAAUACCAGACCGCUUGGUGGAAACGAGCCUAGAGUCUCUCAAAAUUAGCCAAAUUACGUGGCAGAAUCGACCCAGUCUGCAGGAAACUAUAGCCUAGCUUGCGUGCUGUUACUCCUGGCAGUUUCUCAUUACAAGGGCCGAGCUGAGCGGCACCCGUUGUGGCUGGUACAAUUACAAGUGACACAAUACUCAAUACUUUGAAUUCCUGUCAGUAAUUCUCAGGAUUCCUGAAGAGGAAAUCAAACCAGAAAACUUCAAAUCAUCUGCAAGCCUCCCCGCAGGCCACAAUCUGCAGUUGUCACCCUACCAUCUGCUGACGGCCUCGCCAUCACUAAUAUCUCCUUCAGGUGCACACCUGACUGUCUAAAGCCAAAGUAGCGAUGAAUCACAUGGGAUCUGGAAAUGUGUGCCCCAGCCCUCUCAACUGUGACUGGAGGAGAUGUAGCAUGAAGUCUUCUCUGUCCCAGACACCAAUUCGUCGCAGAGAUAUGGCUCUGCUCUCUGCCGCUGGGCAUCCAAGAGGAGCAUCUGAUACUGUUUGGCUGAAGAGAGGUUGGGUCUGGCUGGCUGGGCAGGAUGAGCUGGCUGACAGAAGGAGCCUGGUUAGGAUCUGUGCCAUCUCUGAAGUGAGCCAAGAGAUACAAGGAGCUGACUGUCCUCUGGACUGACCCAUGCUUCUAAAAGGCCAUUAGAUGAGAAACCUGGAACUCUUUCACCCUCACAAUUUUUCUUACUGGUUGUACAAAAGUGCUUUUUGGUCUACCUGCCCUGAAUGUGUCAUGUUUCAGGAUUUUCACACGGUCAUUUGAAGAAAACUCUGAUCAGGAAACAGUAGAGUUGGAGGAUAACUACAUUUGUCAGUGCACAGAGGUUUUGAGGGUGAAGUGUCAGCGGCCUUUGGAACCUAUUCUCAUUAAGUGUUCUUAAUGUUACUGUGUUUGAAACUGUGAGUGCCAGAACCUGUAUGGUAAAUGACUGCAUCUCUCCAUGCCAGGUUUAAACUCACCAAUGAUAUCUCGAUAUCUCUCUGAGGAUUAGCAUGGUACUUUACAGUUCAACUGUCUGUUAUGGAACUGAACAUUAACAUGCUUUGUUUGGGUUCAGAGCUGCCGUGCCAAUUUUUGUCAGCAUGAAAAGAAUGCACAACAGUGCUAAUGUCACGCAUAGCCAGGUCUGAGAAGUUUUGCUCUCUUGGUAGGCAGAGCAUUGUACCCGAUGCUCAUUGUCCACACUGUAAAUUAACUGCAGAAGCUAGUGUUAUGUUUCAUUCAUCGUAAUAUUAAAACAAUAAAACUUUCACACCUGUCAGAAA
Notolabrus celidotus (New Zealand spotty) is the source of this 1319-nucleotide long non-coding RNA. RefSeq lists it as uncharacterized. The transcript has 3 exons. NCBI's taxonomy places the organism in Eukaryota, Metazoa, Chordata, Actinopteri, Labriformes, Labridae. The record is from RefSeq and is a predicted model, not a curated record.